This is a long non-coding RNA of Prunus avium (sweet cherry), 783 nucleotides long. RefSeq lists it as uncharacterized. Lineage: Eukaryota; Viridiplantae; Streptophyta; Magnoliopsida; Rosales; Rosaceae. The record is from RefSeq and is a predicted model, not a curated record.
CCAGAUCUGAGAGAACGCUCACAAGGAUGAGCUUAAGAAGAACGAAGAUAUCAUUUCAAGGUCAGCCGAAUCAUAUUGAUGUCAGGACAGUAAAUGGAUACGGUCAUGGGGAUGAUUACAGAGGAAACAAUGAAUCAAAGAUGACUAAAUAUUCAAGGGAUGCAUUAAUUCAGCUUUUAAAUCUGGUGCAGUUGAAACUACAUCCUAGAUUUUUAUAAAGUAGAGUGUCCGCUUUGACAGGAUAUCAAUUUUUUAUGAAGUUUUCAAGCUAAUGUCACGGUUAGACUUGGUGCUGUAAAUAAGGGAUUACUGCAUGGAGGUUAGUAUUAGCUGGGAGGUUUCGGUUGCUGAAUCAAUGGUGUGAUUUUGUUGAGGCAACAUGCUCAUUUUUCUGACAGUCUGCAAACUUUGCUCCUGACUUUGAAUUGUCCAUAUCAGAGCUUGCCGCUCUGGACAUGUGCCAAAAGAGUGGUAUAUUUAAGCCAAUGACAGUGGAGAAACGUCAAGAAUUGAAGCAAAGAUGUGGGGGUUUCAUGAAAACUGGUCUUGAAGUUCUUGUUGGCUGGAGAGAGAAAUCACAGGCAAUAGUAGGGCUGGGUCACAGCAUUACUGUAACUUCAAAAGGAGCUGUCUAUUCGUUUGGCUCUAACAACUCAGGACAGCUUGGACAUGGCACCACUGAAGAGGAAAGGAGGCCUCGGCAAAUCAAGUUGCCAAUUCUUGAUCACUCAUUAGACCUGAUUAUGUAAAAUGCUGCAAGAAAAAGAAAAGAGAACUAGUUGA